This 253-nucleotide ribosomal RNA is filed under the name uncultured bacterium. RNAcentral's name for it is "partial 16S ribosomal RNA". It matches the Rfam family "Bacterial small subunit ribosomal RNA", at positions 524 to 776 of the family's 1533-position model. The record is from RNAcentral.
UACGAAGGGAGCUAGCGUUGUUCGGAAUCACUGGGCGUAAAGCGCACGUAGGCGGAUUUGCCAGUCAGGGGUGAAAUCCCGGGGCUCAACCUCGGAACUGCCUUUGAUACAGCAAGUCUUGAGUUCGAGAGAGGUGGGUGGAAUUCCUAGUGUAGAGGUGAAAUUCGUAGAUAUGCGGAGGAACACCGAUGGCGAAGGCAAUCCCCUGGGCCUGCACUGACGCUCAUGCACGAAAGCGUGGGGAGCAAACAGG